This 385-nucleotide ribosomal RNA is filed under the name uncultured eukaryote. Its description in RNAcentral is "SSU rRNA". It matches the Rfam family "Eukaryotic small subunit ribosomal RNA", at positions 587 to 976 of the family's 1831-position model. The record is from RNAcentral.
AGCUCCAAUAGCGUAUGUUAAAGUUGUUGCGGCUAAAAAGCUCGUAGUUGGAUUUCUACUGAGAACGUCCGGUCCGCUCUAUGAGCGUGCAUCUGGUUCGGUCUCGGUAUCCGCUCUGCAGGGGUAUCUGCGCUUGAUUGCGUGGUGCCAAGGUAGGGCCUUUUACUUUGAGGAAAUUAGAGUGUUCACGGCAGGCAUUCGCCUUGAAUAUAUUAGCAUGGAAUAAUAACAUAGGAUCUUGGUUCUAUUUUGUUGGUUUCUAGGGCUAAGAUAAUGAUUAAUAGGGACAAUUGGGGGCAUUCGUAUUGCGGUGUCAGAGGUGGAAUUCUUGGAUUACUGCACGACGAACUACUGCGAAAGCAUUUGCCAAGGAUGUUUUCAUUGA